This 94-nucleotide non-coding RNA is filed under the name uncultured Stomatobaculum sp. Lineage: Bacteria; Bacillati; Bacillota; Clostridia; Lachnospirales; Lachnospiraceae. The record is from RNAcentral.
UGAUGAGGGGUGCUCGGUGGAACCGGGCUGAGAGUCGGCUGUCCUUGCCGUAACCCAUACACCUGAUUUGGAUAAUGCCAACGUAGGGAAGAGA